This 253-nucleotide ribosomal RNA is filed under the name uncultured bacterium. RNAcentral describes it as "partial 16S ribosomal RNA". It matches the Rfam family "Bacterial small subunit ribosomal RNA", at positions 524 to 776 of the family's 1533-position model. The record is from RNAcentral.
UACGGAGGGUGCAAGCGUUAUCCGGAUUCACUGGGUUUAAAGGGAGCGUAGGUGGGCUGGUAAGUCAGUGGGGAAAUCUCCGGGCUUAACCCGGAAACUGCCGUUGAUACUAUCAGUCUUGAAUGUUGUGGAGGUAAGCGGAAUAUGUCAUGUAGCGGUGAAAUGCUUAGAUAUGACAUAGAACACCGAUAGCGAAGGCAGCUUGCUACACAAUGAUUGACACUGAGGCUCGAAAGCGUGGGGAUCAAACAGG